UCCGGGAUGUUCAUAACCCUUUGUUGUCCGACUCUGUUGCCUCCGGGGCGACCCUGCCUUCGGGCGGGGGCUCCGGGUGGACACUUCAAACUCUUGCGUAACUUUGCAGUCUGAGUAAACUUAAUUAAUAAAUUAAAACUUUUAACAACGGAUCUCUUGGUUCUGGCAUCGAUGAAGAACGCAGCGAAAUGCGAUAAGUAAUGUGAAUUGCAGAAUUCAGUGAAUCAUCGAAUCUUUGAACGCACAUUGCGCCCCCUGGUAUUCCGGGGGGCAUGCCUGUUCGAGCGUCAUUUCACCACUCAAGCCUCGCUUGGUAUUGGGCAUCGCGGUCCGCCGCGUGCCUCAAAUCGACCGGCUGGGUCUUCUGUCCCCUAAGCGUUGUGGAAACUAUUCGCUAAAGGGUGUUCGGGAGGCUACGCCGUAAAACAACCCCAUUUCUAAGGUUGACCUCGGAUCAGGUAGGGAUACCCGCUGAACUUAAGCAUAUCAAUAAGCGGAGGAA
Molecule: ribosomal RNA, 502 nt
Filed under: Cladosporium cladosporioides
Lineage: Eukaryota; Fungi; Ascomycota; Dothideomycetes; Cladosporiales; Cladosporiaceae
Description: eukaryotic LSU rRNA
Rfam family: 5.8S ribosomal RNA (bases 137-290)
Source: RNAcentral